RNAcentral lists this ribosomal RNA (468 nucleotides) under uncultured bacterium. RNAcentral describes it as "partial 16S ribosomal RNA". It matches the Rfam family "Bacterial small subunit ribosomal RNA", at positions 28 to 507 of the family's 1533-position model. The record is from RNAcentral.
GACGAACGCUGGCGGCGUGCUUAACACAUGCAAGUCGAACGGAAAGGCCCUGCUUUUGUGGGGUGCUCGAGUGGCGCACGCGUGAGUAACACGUGAGUAACCUGCCCUUGACUUUGGGGUAACUUCAGGAAACUGGGGCUAAUAUCGGAGAGGAGCUCCUGCUGCAUGGUGUGGGUUGGAAAGAUUCGGCGGUUGUGGCUGGACUCGCGGCUUAUCAGCUUGAUGGUGUGGUAGUGGCUUACGAAGGCUUUGACGGGUAGCCGGCCUGAGAGGGGUGACGGCGUCAAGGGUACUGAGGUAGGGACCAGACGGCUACGGGAGGCAGCAGUCGGGAAUCUUGCACAACGGGCGGAAGCCUGAUGUAGCAACGCCGCGUGCGUGAUGACGUCUUUCUGGUUGUAAACCGCUUUCUCCUUAGACGAAGCGUGAGUGACGGUAACUGGUAAAGAAGCACCGGCUAACUACGUG